UGACAACUGAAACCACAAAAUGGUAUCGUCACUUAUGAGUUGGUAAUUGGUAAAUAUUUACAUUUAAGGACAAGAAAACCUUAUAGAACAGAGCUGAAGAUAAGGCACCUUCCUGCUCAAAGGUGCAUGUGGGUCACAUGAAUAAUGGAUGUCAGGCUGAACUGCUGCUGAACUCCGGCGAUGUCAAACCUGCACGCCCAUUAUACACCCGUCUCUGCUGAUGUGGCCCUGCAUUCAUUCACACGCCUCUGUCAUCGCUUUGGGUGUGGCCGAUCGCCUGACACUCUCAAACAACUCGAGCUUUGUUCGACCGCAUGGCCUUUGUGAUCCAACGAUUUACGUGUCCAUAUAUGAGGUCAGAUAAACCAGCGUGCCGACCGGAGACCUCGUGCAAGGUCUGAACUCAAGAGCGUCUUUCUCUGGGGAAGGUCAGACUCCAUCAGCCCGCCGUCACGGAUGAUGAAUAUGUCUGCAGCCUGAGGAUGAGUGGUGACAGUCAUAACGCUGGCUGGGCGUGACAGUGAUCUCCAGCAGUUUUGACACAUUUGAAGGGAUCCAAGGAAGGAGAUAAUUAAAGCCAUACCGAUGCCUUCUGAUCAACUUUUACUGGAUGUAAGACAUGAAUGAAUCGAAUCAAGGACAGAUGUGCUGUUGCUUUGCAAGCAGUCGGACGGCUGAAGAACAGGUGAAAACAUUCCCUUACCCCCACUGGAGCCAAGCAGCCGCAUGGCAUCUCGGUCGCAUGUUUUGCGCACCUGGGGAAAAAAACGCGGUUUUCGUUUGUAUUUAUCCUCCUCCUCGUCAUUUUUAACCACCCUUGCAGGCUGAAUUACCAGACGGGUCUCUGGCCUUUUCUACUUCAUCAUUUUUGUUUUAUUACGGUUGCACAUGUGGCACAUCUGGCGCCAUGCCCGAAUCAUUACUUACUUUUUAUGUUCGGCUCGCCGUCGCCAUGGAAACUGCUGCAUGUUUGGCAGCGAGCCUUUGAAGGCGAGCGAGAGAGGGGCGAGUAUUGCGAGCUCUCAGGAAUUGGCCUACAUCCAGUGUAAUCAUGGCGGGGAGCUAAAAUGAGCCGUUUGGCAGCACACCAGGUUUCAGAGAACAAAGAUGUGAGCCACUAAUGUUGGCCGCAGAGCCUGCUUGGCAUCCUUUACCAUUUCCCAGCAGCCCCUUCCACGGCUGCCUGCCAACCCCCCGCCCCACCAACCCGCCCCCGCUGGGACGGCAAAGAGGAUCUGAAUAAAGAAAGAGACUUGUUUUUCUCCGAGCUCCCCUGCUCCAAUGACAUCACCUCUGCAGCCUCUAGCCCCAGAUUCCAGACGCCGAGCACAUUUUUUCUGCUCCUCUCUCUCUCUCUCUCUCUCUCUCUCUCUCUCAAGCCUCCAUUUUGACUGAAUUCCUCCAUUUUAUAAUUGCUCUACCUCCUCUGUGUCACGAAACGUCCGCUCCGAAAAAACGAGAAUUUGUUUUUUACUCUGAGAGUGCUACAGAAAUAACUCGUCACAGUUAGACAAAUACAUCAAACUGUUGGGAAUUCUUAGUUAUGAAAAAAGGUUUUCUAUUUAUUCAUGUAAACUCGCAUUUUUCAGAAUCAAAAUAGGUGUUUGUUGGCUAAAUAAGUAAGAACACACAGCAUCAUCACAUACCGUACGUGCAAUACAAGACAUAUCAGGUUUUAUGUAAAUAAUUGAUUACAACCAGAUACAACAUACAAAUGUCUGGUGAUUUUAAGAAGGUUAAUAACAUUUUAUCAAGUGUACGUGACAGUAAAAUGUGCAUGUCAACAAAUGCAGUGUAGACGAUUAAUAAUCACAAAAGCGGAGGUGACACAAUAGAAUGUAAGUCACAACACAAAAUAUUCACUGCUGAAUUCAUGAGGCGGAGGGAAAAAAUAGCAACGCGGUAAACAGGAUGUGGCCUGUCAGUGGGGCUAUCCUGGUGAGCGCAGGAGUUGCCAUGGUUACCAUUUCCUGAGAAAUGUACAGCCAAUCAAAAGGAGGGAAGGAGAUUUCACAGACCGUCUGCGCUAGUAAAAACAGGGUGAAAUGACAUCGUGUCAGAGGGUUUACGCCACACACUUGAGUGAAGCAUAAAGCACGUACACGUUUCAGCAUGCCCCCUCGUUUUAUAGCCCAGACGUCUGCGUCUCUCUGAAUGUGUCUGAGUCAAGGUUUUACUGCCGUUUAACAGCUUCAGACACUCCAGAUAAAAAGGAAUUCUGGCGAUGUUAUAUUUGCAACUUAUAUAAGAAAAUCAAUAUUUCAUUUGUGUUGUUUACAGCGCUGCGUCCUGGAACAUCUGUAGCACACGGGUUAUAUAACACUGAAAAUGGGCCAUCGCGUGGAGGGAGAGACACGAGAACACUCGAGACUGUGUGCUGCUGGGACACAUAGGGGAAAGAAAACACCUUGACGCACGGUCGCAGCAUCGAGCAAGAAUCGAAAGUUGAUGUUGUUUUUCGAUACAAUGACACCGUGACAUGAAAAAGCAUCGAGGUUGGCGCUUUUCGAAGUAUGGCGUUAGAAAUGCCGAGUCACGAUCCGUUGACACAAUAUCAAGAGGUGACCUUCCGGCUAAUAUUUCAGGAACAUUGCCCUUGAGUGACACCACAAUGUGUUGACGUGAAAUCUGAUAAGCCUUAAAGGUUAAUGCAAGAGGAAUUAGUUGUCAGGCUGGAAAGGAGAGACAAUAUUUACAGUUUCAAGGGCACAAAACACGCCACCGUGCCGAAGUUCCAUCAGGCAGCCCGAGUGCGUGGGGGUGAAAACAAGUCCUGGCCACGGGCCAAGAGAUUUGAUGUUCGUUGAGAAGGGCGCGGCGAGCUGUGGGUACGUGACUAAACAUCUUACUUCCUCUUUCCAACGUCACGAGGGCUUGCACAAACACAUCCUGCCCUGUGUCUGCAGAUUUCAGAUGCAUUGAUUCACCCGAAGAGCCCUGAAGCUGCACUUUGUUGGAACGGAUCCAAAACACGAGGGAAGGCCCGAUUUACCGUGUCUUUCGGACAUUGUGUGCCCAGACCUGAUCGCCCCAAACGUGCACACCCAACCAGACGAGAGAAACAAAGCAUGUUCGAGGGCAAAGCUCAUGCUGUGUUGUUGCAUAAUAUUUCACUGACUGUUUUACUUCAUACAGUACGUAUGACAGAUAUGUGUAGGACUGUCAAAACAUGCAGUGCGAUGCAGAUUAUUACUUAUUUACGACACUGGGGGUGUUAGUAUUUCUGUACACUGCUCAAGAACUGAAAUGUCGAGGCAUUUCCAAUGAAGGAGGAACAAACUUUGUUGAUAUGUAUUUUUUAUGCAAUAAAACAACUGUCAAAAUAGUUACUCUCAAUAUCCAAAAUAAUAUUUAUUUAAUACGUUGUAAGUUACAAUUGUUAUUGUUUAUUAA
This is a long non-coding RNA of Triplophysa rosa, 3393 nucleotides long. RefSeq lists it as uncharacterized. NCBI's taxonomy places the organism in Eukaryota, Metazoa, Chordata, Actinopteri, Cypriniformes, Nemacheilidae. The record is from RefSeq and is a predicted model, not a curated record. The transcript has 5 exons.